UGGGGAAUUUUGGACAAUGGGCGAAAGCCUGAUCCAGCAAUGCCGCGUGUGUGAAGAAGGCCUUCGGGUUGUAAAGCACUUUUGUCCGGAAAGAAAUGGCUCUGGUUAAUACCUGGGGUCGAUGACGGUACCGGAAGAAUAAGGACCGGCUAACUACGUGCCAGCAGCCGCGGUAAUACGUAGGGUCCAAGCGUUAAUCGGAAUUACUGGGCGUAAAGCGUGCGCAGGCGGUUGUGCAAGACCGAUGUGAAAUCCCCGAGCUUAACUUGGGAAUUGCAUUGGUGACUGCACGGCUAGAGUGUGUCAGAGGGGGGUAGAAUUCCACGUGUAGCAGUGAAAUGCGUAGAGAUGUGGAGGAAUACCGAUGGCGAAGGCAGCCCCCUGGGAUAACACUGACGCUCAUGCACGAAAGCGUGGGGAGCAAACAGGAUUAGAUACCCUGGUAGUCCACGCCCUAAACGAUGUCAACUAGUUGUUGGGGAUUCAUUCCUUAGUAACGUAGCUAACGCGUGAAGUUGACCGCCU
This 525-nucleotide ribosomal RNA is filed under the name uncultured bacterium. RNAcentral describes it as "partial 16S ribosomal RNA". It matches the Rfam family "Bacterial small subunit ribosomal RNA", at positions 355 to 874 of the family's 1533-position model. The record is from RNAcentral.